GACGAACCGUCCAAACGUUGUUCGGAAUCACUGGGCUUAAAGGGCGCGUAGGCGGGCUGCCAAGUCCGGGGUGAAAUCCUCCCGCUUAACGGGAGAACUGCCUCGGAUACUGGAAGUCUCGAGGGAGGGUAGGGGCAUGCGGAACUGUGGGUGGAGCGGUGAAAUGCGUUGAUAUCCAUAGGAACUCCGGUGGCGAAGGCGACUGACUGGACAUGUAUUGACGCUGAGGUACGAAAGCGUGGGGAGCAAACAGG
This 254-nucleotide ribosomal RNA is filed under the name uncultured bacterium. RNAcentral's name for it is "partial 16S ribosomal RNA". It matches the Rfam family "Bacterial small subunit ribosomal RNA", at positions 524 to 776 of the family's 1533-position model. The record is from RNAcentral.